This is a small nuclear RNA of Callithrix jacchus (white-tufted-ear marmoset), 141 nucleotides long. Its record names the gene U4. It matches the Rfam family "U4 spliceosomal RNA". Rfam says of the family: U4 small nuclear RNA (U4 snRNA) is a component of the major U2-dependent spliceosome. The structure of U4 snRNA from yeast and human has been reported. U4 snRNA presents a k-turn RNA motif in the 5p-SL related to recognition of Snu13 protein. Lineage: Eukaryota; Metazoa; Chordata; Mammalia; Primates; Cebidae. The record is from Ensembl.
AGCUUUGCACAGUGGCAGUAUCGAGGCCAAUGAGGUUUAUCUGAGGCGCAAUUAUUGCUAAUUGAAAACUUUUCCCAAUACCCCGCCGUGACGACUGGAAGCGUAGUCGGCAUUGGCAAUUUUUGGCAGUCUCUACGGGGA